Molecule: long non-coding RNA, 447 nt
Filed under: Ananas comosus (pineapple)
Lineage: Eukaryota; Viridiplantae; Streptophyta; Magnoliopsida; Poales; Bromeliaceae
Description: long non-coding RNA (ACOM_LNC016424)
Source: RNAcentral
UGUAAUUUACUCCGACAUUACUCAGGGUUAAGUCAAUUAAAUGGAGGUAAACAUUUGCGACUAAAAACAUUUUCUCCCCCUUUCACUUUCGAUAAAAUAAACAUGUUAUAGUUGUAGUUGUUAUAUUUUUAAUUGUAUAUAUUGAAUAUUUUCUCCCCCUUUCACUUUCGGUAAGAGUAUGUUUGAUUGCUCGAAAGCGGGUGAAGUGAAGAAAGUAACUUUUAUAAAAGUUACUUUUACAAAAAUGAUUUUUCUGUUCGAUUGUUUAGUUAGUUAUAAAGUGAAAAAAUUAAACUAUAAUUUUAUAAUUUUAAUUAUUAAAUUAUUAUAUAUAAAGAUGUGAUAAUAUAAAUAAACAACUUAUACUAACAAUUUAAAUUAAAAAUUUAUAUUUAUAUUUAGAAUUCAAAAUUAUAUUUUAAAAUUUAAAUUUAAACUUAAAUCUAA